This 409-nucleotide ribosomal RNA is filed under the name uncultured Lactobacillus sp. RNAcentral's name for it is "bacterial SSU rRNA". It matches the Rfam family "Bacterial small subunit ribosomal RNA", at positions 144 to 525 of the family's 1533-position model. Lineage: Bacteria; Bacillati; Bacillota; Bacilli; Lactobacillales; Lactobacillaceae. The record is from RNAcentral.
UAACACCUGGGAAACAGAUAGCUAAUACCGGAUAACAACAGAUGAUGCCUAUCAAACUGUUUAAAAGAUGGUUCUGCUAUCACUCUUGGAUGGACCUGCGGUGCAUUAGCUAGUUGGUAGGGUAACGGGCCUACCAAGGCGAUGAUGCAUAGCCCGAGUUGAGAGACUGAUCGGGCCACAUUGGGGACUGAGACACGGGCCCAAACUCCUACGGGAGGCAGCAGUAGGGAAUCUUCCACAAUGGACGCAAGUCUGAUGGAGCAAACGCCGCGUGAGUGAAGAAGGGUUUCGGCUCGUAAAAAGCUCUGUUGUUGGUGAAGAAGGAUAGAGGUAGUAACUGGCCCUUUAUUUGACGGUAAUCAACCCAGAAAGUCACGGGCUAACUACGUGCCCAGCAGCCGCGGUAAAU